GUAGAUGCUCAUUCCACCUCUUAUGUUCGCCACAUGGCCUCAUAAACCCUGGGAAUGACGCAGAGCCGAUUUAGGGUGCCUAUUGCCCACCAGAACGAUGAAUACAUCGCUUGCGAUGCGGACAUCACACUGCGGGCAUAACGUUGAGUGAGGCACCACCCCUGUUGUCCAAGACCUGAUUGCUUCUUUAUACACUUGUCGUUACGGCAAGUGUUUUUUU
Small RNA from Serratia odorifera DSM 4582, 220 nucleotides. It matches the Rfam family "GlmZ RNA activator of glmS mRNA". Rfam says of the family: This RNA was discovered in E. coli during a large scale screen. The sraJ gene was expressed in early logarithmic phase, but its level decreased with cell growth. The record is from Rfam. Lineage: Bacteria; Pseudomonadati; Pseudomonadota; Gammaproteobacteria; Enterobacterales; Yersiniaceae.